AGCUUUGCGCAGUGGCAGUAUCGUAGCCAAUGAGGUUUAUCCGAGGCGCGAUUAUUGCUAAUUGAAAAAAUCUUCAUGUGAAAUAACAACAGCAAAAAAGCUACUGGGGUAAAAUAUUAAUAAUGAAUAUAAUAA
Lynx canadensis (Canada lynx) is the source of this 135-nucleotide small nuclear RNA. Its record names the gene U4. It matches the Rfam family "U4 spliceosomal RNA". Rfam says of the family: U4 small nuclear RNA (U4 snRNA) is a component of the major U2-dependent spliceosome. The structure of U4 snRNA from yeast and human has been reported. The record is from Ensembl. NCBI's taxonomy places the organism in Eukaryota, Metazoa, Chordata, Mammalia, Carnivora, Felidae.